UCGGGGUGGGGCCAGACGUGAGGAGCCCUGCGCGGCACUGGAUAAAGGUGAGUAAAUCACGUUUAUAACCCGAGGUAAUGGCAACUGACCGGCUAAACUAUGGUUUUAGAACUAUAGUAUCAGGAAUACGUUUGUGUUCCUAACACUAUAGUGCCCCUUUAAGUUUUUAGUAGAACCCAAAUUAGAUAGAAGAAGAGGAGCCGUACAAUCUAGUCUGGGAUUCUGGAGGAAACUGGGCACACCACGCUCAGUAGUAUGAUGACAUUACUGGAGGCAUAGAUGUUGAACUGGGUUGUUUUGCUUCAUAACCAAGCCAGAUGUAUGAAAAGCAUGAGAGACAACUGCAGAUGUUGGCAAAAUGAGCAGAUUUCAGAGACAGUUGGAGAUGCUGAUGGCUAUACAGGUGCUGGAUACAUGUGCAGUUGUUGGUGAUGAACAGAAAUGUUGGAGAAAAGUCCAGAUGUUAAAAAGUUUCCUCCU
This is a non-coding RNA of Pelobates cultripes (western spadefoot toad), 480 nucleotides long. The record is from the annotation of a GenBank genome assembly. NCBI's taxonomy places the organism in Eukaryota, Metazoa, Chordata, Amphibia, Anura, Pelobatidae.